Long non-coding RNA from Papilio polytes (common Mormon), 389 nucleotides. RefSeq lists it as uncharacterized. The transcript is spliced from 3 exons. NCBI's taxonomy places the organism in Eukaryota, Metazoa, Arthropoda, Insecta, Lepidoptera, Papilionidae. The record is from RefSeq and is a predicted model, not a curated record.
AAAGAUUCAAAUUAACGAAACAGAAAUGAAACAAAAUAAUUAAAUAACAUUAAAGAACUCUUUCAAAAUAACACUGCGCGUUUGCUAAGUAUUGUGCUCCUUAAUUAAACGGGACAAGGCCAGUUUUGCCCCAAUAUCAAGAAAGCAGUACUACGAAUGGGAUUUUUUGCGCAUUUCGUAUGACAAAACUAAGAAUAUGGUAACAUUGAGAAAGCUAGGCGCAAGUUCCGGAUCCGGUUUCAACAAAAAAAAGCGGUUCCUAAUUCUAUCCAUGAAAAGGAAUAAGUCUAAAAACUGAUGCGAAACAUUGAAGCUUGGCACACAUUCUCCUACCAGACCUCAACGGCGAACGCGAAAUCACAAAUGUUUCAAACAUAGAUAGCCCUGUA